GUUUGAUCCUGGCUCAGGACGAACGCUGGCGGCGUGCUUAACACAUGCAAGUCGAGCGGUAAGGCCUUUCGGGGUACACGAGCGGCGAACGGGUGAGUAACACGUGAGUAAUCUGCCCUCCACUUGGGGAUAAGCAUUGGAAACGGUGUCUAAUACCUGAUAUGACUCAGCCAUGCAUGUGGUUGGGUGGAAAGUUUUUUCGGUGGGGGAUGUGCUCGCGGCCUAUCAGCUUGUUGGUGAGGUAAUGGCUCACCAAUGCAACGAUCCCUAGCUGGUUUGA
Molecule: ribosomal RNA, 280 nt
Filed under: Dinophysis acuminata
Lineage: Eukaryota; Dinophyceae; Dinophysales; Dinophysaceae
Description: partial Bacterial small subunit ribosomal RNA
Rfam family: Bacterial small subunit ribosomal RNA
Source: RNAcentral